CCCGUCACACCAUGGGAGCGGGUUGCUCCAGAAGUCACUACGCCAACACGCAAGUGAGGCAGGUGCCUAAGGAGUGGCUCGUGACUGGGGUGAAGUCGUAACAAGGUACCC
Molecule: ribosomal RNA, 111 nt
Filed under: uncultured bacterium
Lineage: Bacteria
Description: partial 16S ribosomal RNA
Rfam family: Bacterial small subunit ribosomal RNA
Source: RNAcentral